This 319-nucleotide ribosomal RNA is filed under the name Parabacteroides merdae. RNAcentral's name for it is "bacterial SSU rRNA". It matches the Rfam family "Bacterial small subunit ribosomal RNA", at positions 1 to 307 of the family's 1533-position model. The record is from RNAcentral. Lineage: Bacteria; Pseudomonadati; Bacteroidota; Bacteroidia; Bacteroidales; Tannerellaceae.
CUUUUACAAUGAAGAGUUUGAUCCUGGCUCAGGAUGAACGCUAGCUACAGGCUUAACACAUGCAAGUCGAGGGGCAGCAUCAUCAAAGCUUGCUUUGAUGGAUGGCGACCGGCGCACGGGUGAGUAACACGUAUCCAACCUGCCGACAACACUGGGAUAGCCUUUCGAAAGAAAGAUUAAUACCGGAUGGCAUAGUUUUCCCGCAUGGGAUAAUUAUUAAAGAAUUUCGGUUGUCGAUGGGGAUGCGUUCCAUUAGGCAGUUGGCGGGGUAACGGCCCACCAAACCAACGAUGGAUAGGGGUUCUGAGAGGAAGGUCCC